GGGACCGGCAGUUCUUUCUAGCCCCGGGUUGCGGGGAUUUUUGGCUCAGGUGAGCGACCUUGCGGCUCGCCAUCUGGGUUCUGGCUAGCGGAGAGGCUGGGCCCCUGGAGCGUCAGGACCGCCUGCCUCUCGCAGAUCUGCGUCAGAUCUGACCCUCAACCCCCUAGGUGCGACUUUGGGGCUGUCGCUUCGCCUCCUUAAGCCGAAGAUGUGCACCUGUGGCACCGUUAACUCGGGUGCCUCCCCAAAGGCAUUAACUAGGACUGAAAGGAGCGGAUCGUGGGCCCAGGUUGUACGCUCUGGUCUGGUUUUUCCGGAGCCAGGGAACAGUUGUUUUGACGUGCCGUAAACCACGUGAUCGCCCCGAGGCCUCUCUUGGAAGUGUUCGUUUACUUUGCUUGUGGUCAGCCCUUUGAGGCAUGAAGCCGGGAGGACCUGCAUUUUUGUCUUUUUACUAUUUAAUUGCUUUUGUUCCACUGCAGAAAGUGACACUGAUUUUCCGAGCAGACUGAAGAAACCGGCAAAUGUAGCUGCGUGGCUAAUAAAGGGCAGGGCAGGCGGUGUGACUUCUGUACCCUUGGCCUAAAAGGGAACCUGGGGCCUAAGUGCAGGCUGAAGAGGUGGGAACUGUGAAAGAGAAGGGUUCCCCCACCACCACCACCAAAUUUUACUCUAUGUACAUUAGUGUGAUGGUAUCACAUCCUUUGGAACAUGUGGGUGCAGGGAAUUGAAACCUGGUCCUUUGGAAGAGCAUCCGGUGCCCUUAACUGCUGAGUCAUCUCUCCAGCCACGAAAGAGAAGCCUUAAAGACUGGUGGCGUGGUGGCGCACAGCUGUGAUCCCAGCAGUGGGAGAGGCAGAGGCAUGUGGGAUCUCUGGAAUCCAGACAACCCUGGUCUACAAGUCCAGACUUGUAGUCAGACAGAGAAAACCUGUCUUAAAAAACGCAAGACAAAACAAAUCUAUUUAAUUUAUAUAGCAGUGUGUGACUUCUUUUCUCUCCAUAAAAUACACGAUGCCUGGUCUCAUCUGAUACCCACUGUACUGGUCUGGCCUUACUUGCUAGCCGCUAUAUUACUUAGGCAGAUUUUACUAGUCUCUCCAGGAUUAAAAAAACAAAACAAAAAACUGUGGACUCAACAAAGACUGAGAAGAACAUUCCUAAAACACAGGAUGAGACUGCGGCCCUCUCUUCAGCUGUUAGAAUUCUUCUCCCUAGGGACGCCUGACCUAGCUCGAACAGAGGGAGCUGACCAGGCCAGCUGCUACAGUUUGGACUGGGAUGACUUGCGAAGGCUCCUGUGUGGCUUGGUCCUUAGCCUGGUGCUGUUGAGAGGUGGAGGAAAUGUUAAGAAGUGGGGCUUAGAGGGAGGUCUUUCAGUCAUUAGGGGUUUAGCCUCAGAGGGGACCCUGGGACCAUACCUGUUCUUCUUUCUCUGCUCUAUGCCCAGCUGUGAGCGGGCCUCCUCCACCGUGGGCUCUCACCAUGUCAAACUGUCCCACUGCAGGCCCAAAAGCAACAGGGCUGGUCAACGAUGGCUGAAGCAUCCAAAAGCACAUGCCAACAUAAACCUUUCCUCUUAAAAAAACAAACAACAAUGAAGAAGAAGAAAAAAAAAAAAACACUACAAAGGGCUCGCGGGGGCCAGGGGCCGUCAAUUUUUAUAACAAGAUCUAAAACCAUCCAUAUAUAUUAUUAAUCAAGACACCUUACUUAUGACACACUGAUCGUCCCUCUGUCAGCCUAAACCUGAAAUAGCUCCACACAGAAUAACCCUCUGUAGGGGCUGGGGAGUAACUGUCACAAGUCACUGCCCUAGGGUGCGCUCUGGGUCUGGCCGCAGUGGCCCACUUCAGGGCUCAUCACAAUCCUCCUUCGGCGGUACUCCUCGGAAGGCAGCAGUUGCAGCAGGACAUCUGGCACGAGCCUUGCUUUUGCCUGAUGGAUGCCCGAAGGAGCUUUGAAAGGAGCCGUAGGUGUUGCUGGGCAAGCUCGCUAUCUGGACCCUCUCUCUCUAUGUAGCCCAAGCUAUUCUCGAACUGCGUAGCCCAGGCUGGCCUGGAACUCCCGAUCCUUGGCAUUAGCCUCCUGAGUGCAAGGAUUGAGAAUCCAAUUUCAAAUGGAGGUGGAAGUGUCAUUAACCCAUUUUGUUCUUCAGCCCUUUCUUCUGGAAUUCUCCGUGGAAGGCAAUAGAUUGAGGCUUUGGUGUCAGACACUUCUGGGCACAGAUCUCAGCUUUGAAGGGUGCAGUCCUCUUACAGUUUAUCACGGAAGUAUUGAAUGAAAUGGAUUGACCUUCAGUAAACGGGUCUAUAUUUCAUGAGUCACACAUGGAGACUGAGGAACAGAAUGAAAUGUACUCGGGAAUAGUCCCAAGUCAUUCAUGAGGUAGGGCUCAUGAAGGAAGGGUUGAAGAGAAAGGAGAUAAGGUUCUUGCCCUGUCAGGGUUUCUGACCCCAGUGAGAGCUGAGUCCAGAAGGCACUUCCUGUCACUGGUGAACACUAGAGGAAUGAGCUUAGGUUGUGCAGCCUCCAAACCAGGAGAGAGUUCCUGACUCCCUGACACACUGAGAGAGUUCCAGGCCCCAGUUUCCAGCACUUCCCAGCACCCAGUACCAUCGGAUUGUCCUUGCCUGCCCCCUGGCAUUGGGCUUCCCCAGUGGCUCACUCUGGCCUAUGGCAUGAAGAGAGCCUGUGCUUGUGGAGACUUCCUCAGCUUGUCCUGGUCUCUGCUUUCACAGAAAAGCUUCUCUUGGGUAGCAACUGCCUCUCCAGUCUGGGUGGAACUGGGCCGGAGGGAGUUGGAAACCAGCCAGCAUUGUGUGCUUGUCACUGACAUUGUCAGCUGAAGACUGGCACAGAUUCCUGUCCUCUUGUCCUAACCCCUACAUUUUGGGGUGGUUUGUUCCACUAUGUUGAACUAGCGGCAAUAGCUAACCCAUUCCUUUGAUUAGGUUAUAAAUUCAGGCUGAAAGAACCGACACCUUGCUGGGGGAUGGUUUUCACACGCUGAUUUCUGUGCCCAGAGAUCUGAUUGCAGUCUGGACGUGGGCGUGGUCAUUACUGUGAAGAAUCUCCUGUCUCAAUGUUAUGUGAAAAAAAAAUUGUUCGACAUCAUCUCUGAUUAUAAAUAAAGAGAUGAACAGCCAAUAGCUGGGCAGGAGACUUGAGGAAGGAUUUGCAAUCCAGGGUGGAGGGUCGGGGAGGAGGGGAAGAGAGGGAUGAGAGGAGAUCACCAUGAGAGGCUCGCCAUGGGGACAAGAUGGAGCAGGAGCAGCCAUGGUGAAACUAGAUGGCAAGUAGCAUGGAGCACAUGGCUGGGAGAUAGCCAGAUUAGCCUGGACAGGUUAGGACAGAUCAAUAUCUGCCCAGUUAUGGUGCUUUAAAGCUUAUUAAUAGUAGUAAUGGGUCUCUGUGGCAUCAUUUGGGAGCUAGAACAGGCAUAGAAAAAACAUAACUUUUAUUUUUACAACACACAGUGGGUUAAGAAAGAAGCUUAUUGAGUUCUCAUGUAAUAAUCUGGUUAAGAAGCCCAGGGCAGGCCACCCAGAUGGUUCAGUGGAUAAAGGGGCUUGCUGCAAGCCUGGGUUUGAUAUCUGGACUCCAUGUAAAGGUUGAAGGAUAGAACCAACACCACAAAGCUGUGCUCUGAGUUCUGUAUGCGCGCUGUCUCCCUCUGUCACAUUUUUACCGCACAAGUACAAUAAGAAAAAGGAGUCCAGGUCGUAGCUAACUUGGCAGAGUGAUUGUCCAGCUCAUGAACCCAUGAGAUCCCCCCCAGUACCGAGGCAUGAUGGCACCGUCCUGUAAUCCCAGAACUCAGGAGGUUAAAACAGUAGAGUCAUAACAUCAAAGUCUUUCUUAGAUACAUGGUAUUAGGGCAGCAGCCUGGGCUACAUGAGACCCUGUCUCCAAAAAUAAAAAAUAAAAUUUAUUUUGGAGCAAAAGCCCAUCAUUUACAGGGGUGAGGCAGGAUGAUCAUACCAGCCUGGGCUUCACUGUUGAGACCCUAUCUCAACCCCUUACCUCAACAACAAAAAGGCCAAAGCAUGUUCAGUAGGCCAUUUAUGAGGCUCCCAGCUUUGUCUUUUCAGAGUUAAAUUACACACACACACAAACACACACACACACACACAUUAAAGUUGUGUGUCAUUUUUGUACAGGGCCAUGCUAGUGUCUGUCAUUCCAAUUUUACUAUAUAUGCUGCUAAAGUGAGUCCUUAAAAUGAGACUUAAUUGUGUGUAUAGGCUCAGACUUUUCACCAAACCCACUUUAUUUAGGGUUCUUAAAUACCUUAACCUCCCUUCCAACACCUCCCCCACCUUAGAGAGGAGAUGAGCAGGGAGAAGGGCUGUGGACCUCUUUUAUCUACCUCCUGCUGACUAGGUCCUUAGGGGAUUACCUCCUGCUGACUAGGUCCUUAGGGGAUUACCAAACUCAGUCGACCGUUUACCAGCAGUCCAGUCCAGUCCAGUCCACCAAGCAGCAACAUGAUUCAGAAGAUCAGGACAAGUCAGCAAAAGCCACAAGACUCAGUUGGAUUGUUCCAAGAAGCUCUCUGGAAUGUUUCUCUCUUCAAAGCUGUGUCAAAGCAUGAAGAUCAGUACAGCUAUGUCUAUCCAAAAAGCCACGCCUCACUGUAAAUGGGCACCUGUAUAUCUGCUCUCCUCAGAGUCCACCCACAGAUAUUCUCAGCUGGCCAAAGUCACACCCCUCACAUGAGAGAGCUCACAGCAAAGAAUCCCGCGCCCUCUCACAAGCGGGAUUUGCCUCAGGCAAAACAUCACAUGACAAAACUGAGUCUUCAAAGAAACCAGAAACUUCCACCUCCCUGCUGCGUCUUCCUCGGGAUGCUGUCCUCCUUUGAGGUUUUCAGAGCAUCCGCAGGGCUCAGCCUCAAUUUCUUUCAGCUGCAGAAGCCCACAUUCUCCACAGUGUGGCGCCAAACCCUCAUUCAGUGUCAACGUCUACCGAAAGCUUCUUUUCCACGUCUGCUGUAGGCUUCAAGUCGUUAUCUGCCUCUGUCCUGGCCCCCCAGGAUUGGGGACCAGGGAUGGAAUGCAGGGCCUCAUGCAUAUUAGGAUGCUAGUGAUUUGAAAGAGAACCAUGCUUUCAGGGACCUGCAGAUCACCUGGCUCUCCAUUACAGAAAGAAUAAAUUCAGGACCAGUGCCAGGCACUCCAGCAGUCAGUACAUCACCUGCUGCCUGGCUGGAAUGACACCUUGUUGGGCCUCUGACAGGCCUCCCCCACGUAACUCCUGUGGACUUCCCUACUCUUAUAGAGCCUCUGACAUCCGUUAGUCUACCAAAAGCUGGGCAGGUACAAGAGAACCUUCCAGCACAGGUGGGGUUUUUGCAUCACACCUGGAUAUAGGAGUGUGGUGCAGAAUGACCCUCAACUUCCACGCUGUUCUGUUCAGGUUCAGGGAAGCCAGGAACCACAUUUCAUGAUUCCUUGGCCAGAAAGAUGCUGCUGGCAAUAUGUACUUUGUGAAACUUAUAAGGGGGAGAGGAGGCGGCCGGCAUGGGCUCCUUCUCUGCAAUAUUAACGUGCAGCUCCAGGGGCGGACUGGAGGCACACAUCGGUCAGGAGCCUGGGGACCACAGGACUGAAAUGACCUUAGCAGCUUUUAUAAAAGAUUACAGACUCUUUGGCUUCCUGGAAAACAGCUAUGACAAAGGAAACAGCUAGAGGCACAGCAACUCACUAGUUGUCCCUGCCUCCAGCACUUUGAACAGGAAACACUAAUUACCUGGACAAAAUCCCUUUGGAGACACGAAAGGAGAAGAUGGGCUGUUUUGGAAGGAGAAGAACUCUGGUGGGAGAGGAGAAGACAGGGUGAGAGAGAAGGGGAAUAUGCUCCAUGUAUAUGAUACGCAUGUGCGGAAGUCAUGAUGAGGGGCUGGAGAGGUGGCAUGGCAGCCAGAGCCUGUACAGCUUUUACUGAGAGGCUAAGUUCAGUUCCCAGCACAAGGAUGGGGGAGGGGACAGGAUCCAACGAGGGAGGCAGAAAAAAAGCCUCUCUUAGGAAGCGAGAGCUAGAGACAGACUGAGAAGCCUCAAGCAUCUGAACUGAUGAGGUCUAUAAGGAAAGCUGAGUAGAAGAAAGUAAAGUCCUUAGGGAGAAGUUUUGAAAUUAAUGAAGAUUACUUUCUAUAUUGAAAGUGGAGGAAGACAGUGA
This is a long non-coding RNA of Meriones unguiculatus (Mongolian gerbil), 6183 nucleotides long. RefSeq lists it as uncharacterized. The record is from RefSeq and is a predicted model, not a curated record. The transcript is spliced from 3 exons. Lineage: Eukaryota; Metazoa; Chordata; Mammalia; Rodentia; Muridae.